GGCUGCCACUCCCGGGGCAGCAGGGUAAGUGGUGCUUAUCACGUGCCCGGAAUCACCUGACUAGCAGCGGCUGAAGUGGGGGGGCGCGGGGGGAGGAGUCACGAGGAGAUCGGCAGGGCCGCGCCUCUCCUCGGUCUCCGGGCUUUCGCCCUGGGGGCAGCCCGCACGCACCUCUGCCUUCCCUGCGCGUGCUGGGCUGCUCCCCGCCUCCUUCCGGGCUCCGAGUGUACCGCAGGGAAGAUGCUUCUAGGCGUCUGGUUUUCCUGUGGUCUCCUUGUUGCUGUCAUCCAGAACCAGUGGUUGAAGAUUCUGUCUACAUGCCCUGGGGCCUGACUUCGAAUGAUGGUCUUUGGAUGACAGGCCCAACACCUGGGCCUUUUCCUUCUGCAGCAGACUCGAUCCUUCCAUAAACAAUGGACUGAGGUUCCUCGGAUUUUGCUCCAAGAAUGACUUUUCAGGAAAGAACUGGAUCCAGGCCUCCCCCGAGCUGGUUCUCUUGUUCCUCACCUUCUCCUGCUUCGAAGUCUGUGAUUCUUCAUGUCUCCUCUCUAGUCUAUAAAUUGGCAAAGUCACCUGCAGCAACUUCUUUUUCUUGGGCUUGAUCUUUCUUCCCUUCGGGACAUGUUCUUGAAGAAAAUCAGGGUUUUGAGGAGCUUUUGGCCCCCUACUUGGUGACAUGUUGCCGUCUCCUAUGGUUGUGUCUUUCGACAAGUCUCCGUGGCUCUGUAGUGGAAGGCUUUGAAAUUUUUCUUCUGGUAUAUUCACCCUGUAAGGGAAGUCCACUGCCCUUUCUUUUCCAUGGGUCUCUAUUGGGGGCCAAAGAUUUUUCUUUGGCCAUAUGCUAUUCGAUGUAUUUAUAAAGGAAUUUCCUUGGAUCCCAGA
Rattus rattus (black rat) is the source of this 882-nucleotide long non-coding RNA. RefSeq lists it as uncharacterized. The record is from RefSeq and is a predicted model, not a curated record. The transcript is spliced from 2 exons. Lineage: Eukaryota; Metazoa; Chordata; Mammalia; Rodentia; Muridae.